Molecule: long non-coding RNA, 584 nt
Filed under: Olea europaea subsp. europaea
Lineage: Eukaryota; Viridiplantae; Streptophyta; Magnoliopsida; Lamiales; Oleaceae
Source: RNAcentral
GUUCCUCUCUUCAACACAAGUCAAUACAAAUGUUUAAAUCUUUUUAAUCCUUUUAUUGAAUCUCCUUGUUUAAUUUGCUCUACUUUUGUGAAAAAUGGGAAUUAGAAAAAUUGGGAUUUCUCAUGCUAAAAAACUUGGACGAACUUUUUCUCCUAGAAAGGGAAGCAUUUCGACUGGUGUCAAUGAUGUUCCUAAAGGCCAUUUUGCAGUUUAUGUAGGCGAAGAACACAGGCGCUUCGUCGUUCCAAUAUCUUUCUUGAACCAUCCGUUAUUUCAAGAAUUGUUGCAUGGGCAGAAGAAGAGUUUGGAUAUGAUCAUCCCACGGGAGGCCUUACAAUUCCAUGCACUGAAGAUUAUUUCUUAAGUCUGACUGCUCUACUAAGUUCUUAGGUAAAUUACAGUUCAUUGAGUGUAGUGAUGUUAUAUGCUACUUAAGUUGCGAAAGUGGCAAUUUUGUAUGGUCAUUCAAUUUUGUAUGCAGACUACCUGCAAAUUCUUUUCAAUGUGGCUAGGUUAUUUUUCUUUUUAUUGUAGUUGUAAAUGGAUUAAUAUUCAAAUAUUUCCUGCCAAAGAAUUGAACAAUC